AUACGAAGGGGGCUAGCGUUAAUGGGAAUUACUGGGCGUAAAGGGUUCGUAGGCGGUUAUUUAAGUCAGAUGUGAAAGCCCCGGGCUCAACCUGGGAAUUGCAUCUGAUACUGGGUAACUAGAGUUUAAGAGAGGAGUGUGGAAUUUCCGGUGUAGCGGUGAAAUGCAUAGAGAUCGGAAGGAACAUCAGUGGCGAAGGCGGCACUCUGGCUUAAAACUGACGCUGAGGAACGAAAGCGUGGGUAGCAAACAGGAUUAGAAACCCUAGUAGUCC
This 274-nucleotide ribosomal RNA is filed under the name uncultured bacterium. RNAcentral describes it as "partial 16S ribosomal RNA". It matches the Rfam family "Bacterial small subunit ribosomal RNA", at positions 523 to 796 of the family's 1533-position model. The record is from RNAcentral.